Long non-coding RNA from Meriones unguiculatus (Mongolian gerbil), 1904 nucleotides. The record is from Ensembl. Lineage: Eukaryota; Metazoa; Chordata; Mammalia; Rodentia; Muridae.
CAACUUGAGCUGUGUAAGUAAGGGAAUUGCUGUGAAACAGUAUUGCUUUCCUGAUUUCCUUUUUGGGUUCUUAAGUAGAUCUCAUUUCAUUUCUUGAGUGAACCUGCUGUAGACUGGGGCAAGCAAGAAUGAAACAUGUAUGCAGUGGUUUAGAAGAUCUUAGAAGGGACAGAGGUGGUACAUUUUCUUUUGUCUUAGAAGUUGGUGUCAGCAGAGAAACUGUUAGGACUUAUAACUCAUGUUAACAAUAAAGGUUUAAAGCUUUAUAGCUAUAAAGUGAUAAAGCUAAGGAAGGAAGAAAUUACUAUCUUCUUCUAACAUGUCAGCUUUAAGUAGAUCCUUGUGCUGUAGUUAUGAAACAAUUCUCUUGCAGAUCGAGGAGACUGGCAGCGGGAAAGAAAGUUCAACUAUGGUGGUGGUAAUAAUGCCCCCUGGGGCAGUGACCGGCACCAUCAGUAUGAGCAGCACUGGUACAAGGAUCACCAUUACGGUGACCGGAGGCAUAUGGAUGCCCACCGUUCUGGAAGCUACCGACCUAAUAACAUGUCCAGAAAGAGACCGUAUGAGCAGUACAGCAGCGACCGAGACCACCGGGGACACAGAGACUAUUAUGACAGGCACCAUCAUGACUCCAAGCGGAGGAGGUCAGAUGAUUUUAGGCCCCAGAAUUACCAUCAGCAGGAUUUCCGGCGAAUGUCUGACCACCGACCCACUAUGGGUUACCACGGCCAGGGACCCUCAGACCAUUACCGCUCUUUCCACACAGACAAGCUGGGGGAAUAUAAACAGCCCCUGCCCUCAUUGCACACUGCAGUCUCAGAUCCUCGCUCACCCCCUUCCCAGAAAUCUCCCCAUGACUCCAAAUCACCCUUGGAUCACAGAUCUCCUUUGGAGAGAUCACUAGAACAGAAAAACAACCCAGAUUAUAACUGGAAUGUCCGGAAAACAUAAAGGACAGCUCUGGAAGGUGAGAGAGCUCAGGAGUCAUCAAGCACUUGGACAUUGUGGUCUGGUCCAGCAGUGGCCAGUGGUCAGGCUGGUGAGUGGAGUUUCUGGAUACACUGCUGCUGAAUCCACUAACUGGGCGGCUGAAGGAGCACUUGAAGGAGUUGGAGGCCUUCGUCUGCUGCUUUGGUUUGGUCUCCACUUCUGCACUUUGGUACCCCAUCCCGUCCUAGCCUAUGGUGGCCUCCCACCUCCAUGGGUGCUAGGAGGAGGUGACUAUGUACCAGCUUCAUUGGGCUACUUCCUCUGUGAAGGAAUCUGGGAUCUUGAGAGUCAAUGAAUGUUAUAUUCAGCAUGAGUGACCAGGGCAAGGACCUGCUGGACAGUGUGUGAUUGGUUCACUAUGACACGAGGGAUGCUGCUGAUGGGAAGUGGGAAGUGGGGUCACAGGGCGUGUUUCACACUGCAAGACUUGAAAGGGGAGCAGGUAUAUCCCUCAGAUUUGUUCUUGGGAGAAAUGAUACACUUGGUCUCAUUAUGUGAAGUGAGGUGGGGAUAAAGAGACAGGGGAAAUGACUUCCACCGUGACCUCCUCCCUACCAACACUAAUUUUUCCCACACUAUCUUUGUACAUUUCAAAGGUUGGGUCUUCUGGGUGGAGUCCGUUUUCCCUCUUCAUCAGGGAGAGUUGGAUCCCUCUGGCUGACUUUAGAAUACUGUGACUUGGGCAUCAUUGAUGCCAGCGUGGGUCUUAUUUGUCUGGGGAGUGGGCUAAGUGGGUGUAGGGGUGGAGAUGGGGGGUGGGGGUAGUAUAACCAGGAAAUGGGAAUCCCUGGUGGGUUUCUGAUUCCUGUGGUGAGAAGGAAAGUCACAGGUCCAGGAGAUGGAAAUGAAGAUGGCCUGCUGAUGAGGUAGCUGCUGGGGAGUCCAGAGGUGGGGCUCUCAUGCAGAGAGGGGCG